Non-coding RNA from Triticum aestivum (bread wheat), 136 nucleotides. Lineage: Eukaryota; Viridiplantae; Streptophyta; Magnoliopsida; Poales; Poaceae. The record is from Rfam.
AUUCUACUCCCUUCGUUGCACAAUACAUGCCUUCUAUUUGUCAAAAUAUAUAUGUAUCUAGACAUGUUUUAGUAUAUAGGUACAUCCAUUUUUGGACAAAUGGAAGUCAAGUAUUUUGGAACGGAGGGAGUACACA